This 494-nucleotide ribosomal RNA is filed under the name uncultured bacterium. RNAcentral's name for it is "partial 16S ribosomal RNA". It matches the Rfam family "Bacterial small subunit ribosomal RNA", at positions 28 to 507 of the family's 1533-position model. The record is from RNAcentral.
GACGAACGCUGGCGGCGCGCUUAACACAUGCAAGUCGAACGGAAAGGCCUGCUUUCCCUUGUGGAUUGCGGGUACUCGAGUGGCGAACGGGUGAGUAACACGUGAGUGAUCUGCCCCCAACUUGGGUAUAAGCCUGGGAAGCUGGGUCUAAUUCCCGAUAGGACUGCAGGGUGGUGCCUGUGGUGGAAAACGAUUUUCUAGUGGUUGGGGAUGAGCUCGCGGCCUAUCAGCUUGUUGGUGGGGUAAUGGCCUACCAAGGCGGCGACGGGUAGCCGGCCUGGGAGGGUGGACGGCCACAUUGGGACUGAGAUACGGCCCAGACUCCUACGGGAGGCAGCAGUGGGGAAUAUUGCACAAUGGGCGGAAGCCUGAUGCAGCGACGCCGCGUGGGGGAUGACGGCCUUCGGGUUGUAAACUCCUUUCGACCGCGAGGAAGCCACCUGGUUGGAGGGGUGGUGACGGUAGUGGUAGAAGAAGCACCGGCUAACUACGUG